Molecule: ribosomal RNA, 578 nt
Filed under: Zebrias crossolepis
Lineage: Eukaryota; Metazoa; Chordata; Actinopteri; Pleuronectiformes; Soleidae
Description: SSU rRNA
Rfam family: Eukaryotic small subunit ribosomal RNA
Source: RNAcentral
UCUGGUUGAUUCUGCCAGUAGCAUAUGCUUGUCUCAAAGACUAAGCCAUGCAAGUCUAAGUACACACGGCCGGUACAGUCAAACUGCGAAUGGCUCAUUAAAUCAGUUAUGGUUCCUUUGAUCGCUCCCACUUCUACUUGGAUAACUUUGGCAAUUCUAGAGCUAAUACAUGCCAACGAGCGCUGACCACCAGGUGAUGCGCGCAUUUAUCAGUCCCAAAACCCAUGCGGGGUGCCCCGCUCCCUCCCCGGGGGCGGGCCCCCGGCCGCUUUGACGACUCUGGAUAAACUCGAGCCGAUCGCUGGCCCCCCGUGGCGGCGACGUCUCAUUCGAAUGUCUGCCCUAUCAACUUUCGAUGGUACUUUCUGUGCCUACCAUGGUGACCACGGGUAACGGGGAAUCAGGGUUCGGUUCCGGAGAGGGAGCCUGAGAAACGGCUACCACAUCCAAGGAAGGCAGCAGGCGCGCAAAUUACCCACUCCCGACUCGGGGAGGUAGUGACGAAAAAUAACAAUACAGGACUCUUUCGAGGCCCUGUAAUUGGAAUGAGUACACUUUAAAUCCUUUAACGAGGCACU